AGAGUUUGAUUAUGGCUCAGGAUGAACGCUAGCGAUAGGCCUAACACAUGCAAGUCGAGGGGCAGCACAUGAAGUAGCAAUACGGAUGGUGGCGACCGGCGCACGGGUGAGUAACGCGUAUGCAACCUGCCUACAACAGGGGAAUAACCCGUUGAAAGACGGACUAAUACCCCAUAACACAGGGAUCCCGCAUGGGAAUAUUUGUUAAAGAUUUAUCGGUUGUAGAUGGGCAUGCGUUCCAUUAGCUGGUUGGUGAGGUAACGGCUCACCAAGGCAACGAUGGAUAGGGGAACUGAGAGGUUUAUCCCCCACACUGGUACUGAGACACGGACCAGACUCCUACGGGAGGCAGCAGUGAGGAAUAUUGGUCAAUGGACGCAAGUCUGAACCAGCCACGUCGCGUGAAGGAAGACGGCCCUACGGGUUGUAAACUUCUUUUGUAAGGGAAUAAAGUGCAGUACGUGUACUGUUUUGCAUGUACCUUACGAAUAAGGAUCGGCUAACUCCGUGCCAGCAGCCGCGGUAAUACGGAGGAUCCGAGCGUUAUCCGGAUUUAUUGGGUUUAAAGGGUGCGCAGGCGGGAGAUUAAGUCGGCGGUGAAAUUUUGCAGCUCAACUGUAAAAGUGCCUUCGAAACUGGUUUCCUUGAGUGUGGAUGAAGUAGGCGGAAUUUGUGGUGUAGCGGUGAAAUGCAUAGAUAUCACGAGGAACUCCGAUUGCGCAGGCAGCUUACUAAACCAUAACUGACGCUCAGCACGAAGGCGUGGGGAUCAAACAGGAUUAGAUACCCUGGUAGUC
RNAcentral lists this ribosomal RNA (797 nucleotides) under uncultured Proteiniphilum sp. Its description in RNAcentral is "bacterial SSU rRNA". It matches the Rfam family "Bacterial small subunit ribosomal RNA", at positions 8 to 795 of the family's 1533-position model. Lineage: Bacteria; Pseudomonadati; Bacteroidota; Bacteroidia; Bacteroidales; Dysgonomonadaceae. The record is from RNAcentral.